This 429-nucleotide ribosomal RNA is filed under the name Bacillota bacterium. Its description in RNAcentral is "Firmicutes bacterium partial 16S ribosomal RNA". It matches the Rfam family "Bacterial small subunit ribosomal RNA", at positions 355 to 776 of the family's 1533-position model. The record is from RNAcentral. Lineage: Bacteria; Bacillati; Bacillota.
UGGGGAAUUUUGGACAAUGGGGGCAACCCUGAUCCAGCAAUGCCGCGUGUGUGAAGAAGGCCUUCGGGUUGUAAAGCACUUUUGUCCGGGAAGAAAUCGCACCUGAUAAUACCGGGUGUGGAUGACGGUACCGGAAGAAUAAGGACCGGCUAACUACGUGCCAGCAGCCGCGGUAAUACGUAGGGUCCAAGCGUUAAUCGGAAUUACUGGGCGUAAAGCGUGCGCAGGCGGUUGUGCAAGACCGAUGUGAAAUCCCCGGGCUUAACCUGGGAAUUGCAUUGGUGACUGCACGGCUAGAGGGUGUCAGAGGGGGGUAGAAUUCCACGGGUAGCAGUGAAAUGCGUAGAGAUGUGGAGGAAUACCGAUGGCGAAGGCAGCCCCCUGGGAUAACACAGACGCUCAUGCACGAAAGCGUGGGGAGCAAACAGG